Molecule: ribosomal RNA, 508 nt
Filed under: uncultured bacterium
Lineage: Bacteria
Description: partial 16S ribosomal RNA
Rfam family: Bacterial small subunit ribosomal RNA
Source: RNAcentral
GAUGAACGCUAGCUACAGGCUUAACACAUGCAAGUCGAGGGGAAACGAUAGAGAAAGCUUGCUUUUUCUAGGCGUCGACCGGCGCACGGGUGAGUAACGCGUAUCCAACCUGCCCAUCACUUGGGGAUAACCUUGCGAAAGUAAGACUAAUACCCAAUGACGUCCAUAGAAGACAUCUGAAAUGGAUUAAAGAUUUAUCGGUGAUGGAUGGGGAUGCGUCUGAUUAGCUUGUUGGCGGGGUAACGGCCCACCAAGGCGACGAUCAGUAGGGGUUCUGAGAGGAAGGUCCCCCACAUUGGAACUGAGACACGGUCCAAACUCCUACGGGAGGCAGCAGUGAGGAAUAUUGGUCAAUGGACGAGAGUCUGAACCAGCCAAGUAGCGUGCAGGAUGACGGCCCUAUGGGUUGUAAACUGCUUUUAUAAGGGAAUAAAGUGGGAGUCGUGACUCCUUUUGCAUGUACCUUAUGAAUAAGGACCGGCUAAUUCCGUGCCAGCCGCCGCAGUAA